AUUCCAUGAUGAGGACAAUCUUGAAUGUAUCCUUGCAAACGUUCCUAUGCUUCUAAAAUGGUUUUAUGUCUUCUGCUGUUGGAAAUUGGUAAUUUUCCUCUUAAGGCA
Molecule: small nucleolar RNA, 108 nt
Filed under: Sorghum bicolor (sorghum)
Lineage: Eukaryota; Viridiplantae; Streptophyta; Magnoliopsida; Poales; Poaceae
Description: Plant small nucleolar RNA R71
Rfam family: Plant small nucleolar RNA R71
About the family: R71 is a member of the C/D box family of snoRNAs containing the C (UGAUGA) and D (CUGA) box motifs. Multiple nearly identical copies of this snoRNA have been identified in Arabidopsis, and it is thought to function as a 2'-O-ribose methylation guide for 18S ribosomal RNA.
Source: Rfam by way of RNAcentral